GGAGGGUAUAGCUCAAGUGGUAGAGUGCAUGCUUAGCAUGCAUGAGGUCCUGGGUUCAAUCCCCAGUACCUCCA
RNAcentral lists this transfer RNA (74 nucleotides) under Vicugna pacos (alpaca). RNAcentral's name for it is "tRNA-Ala (AGC) (tRNA-Ala-AGC-226 1 to 4)". It matches the Rfam family "tRNA". Rfam says of the family: Transfer RNA (tRNA) molecules are approximately 80 nucleotides in length. Their secondary structure includes four short double-helical elements and three loops (D, anti-codon, and T loops). The record is from RNAcentral. Lineage: Eukaryota; Metazoa; Chordata; Mammalia; Artiodactyla; Camelidae.